Molecule: ribosomal RNA, 311 nt
Filed under: uncultured Planctomycetales bacterium
Lineage: Bacteria; Pseudomonadati; Planctomycetota; Planctomycetia; Planctomycetales
Description: bacterial SSU rRNA
Rfam family: Bacterial small subunit ribosomal RNA
Source: RNAcentral
GGCUGUCGUCAGCUCGUGCUGUGAAGUGUCGGGUUAAGUCCCUCAACGAGCGCAACCCUUGUCGCUAGUUGCUAACAGGUAAUGCUGAGGACUCUAGCGAGACUGCCGGUGUUAAACCGGAGGAAGGUGGGGAUGACGUCAAGUCCUCAUGGCCUUUAUGCCCUGGGCUNNACACGUGCUACAAUGGUAGGUACAGAACGAAGCAAGAUCGCAAGAUGGAGCAAAUCGCUAAAACCUGCCCCAGUUCGGAUUGGAGGCUGCAAUUCGCCUCCAUGAAGUUGGAAUCGCUAGUAAUCGCGGAUCCAUGACGC